CUAGUUAUCUGCAAGAAAAGGCCAACUCCCAGCUCCCCACACCUGUAGUUGUAGAGAGCAAUAAGGUCUCCCCUGAGCCUCCUCUUCUCCACACUAAACAACCCCAGUGCCCUCAGCCACUUCUUAUAGGACCUGUGUUCCAGACCCUUGACC
Long non-coding RNA from Cygnus olor (mute swan), 153 nucleotides. RefSeq lists it as uncharacterized. Lineage: Eukaryota; Metazoa; Chordata; Aves; Anseriformes; Anatidae. The record is from RefSeq and is a predicted model, not a curated record. The transcript is spliced from 3 exons.